Molecule: ribosomal RNA, 836 nt
Filed under: Bacillus pumilus
Lineage: Bacteria; Bacillati; Bacillota; Bacilli; Caryophanales; Bacillaceae
Description: bacterial SSU rRNA
Rfam family: Bacterial small subunit ribosomal RNA
Source: RNAcentral
GUUCCUUGAACCGCGGGGAUCACGGGUGACCUACGGGCCCUGCUGUAUCGUACAUAUCGACGCGCGACUCACUAGCUAGUUAGGGGGGGGAUGGCUCACGCAAGCAACCAUACCUAGUCUAACUGGAAGGGUGAUCGGCCACACUGGGACAGAGACACCGCACACACACCUACGGGAGGCAUGGGUAAGGAAUCUUCCUGGGUGAACCAAUGUCUCACCGAUCCCCCCCGCGUGAAUAAUGACUGUUUUUUGAUCAUCAAUUUCUGUUGUUAGGAAAGAUCAAUUGCUAAAGUCUCUGCUCUCUGCUUGUCCUUACCUAACAAGAACCCCCCGGCUCACUGCCUGCCACCACCCGCGUACAUACGUAGCUGGCGUUCGUUGUCCUUACUGAUCGUGCGUCACAGGCUCGCAGUCGGAUUCUUAAGUCUGAUGUGCACCGCCCCCGCUCAGCCAGGUAGGGUCAAUGGAAACUGGGAAACUUGAGUGCAAAAGAGGAAAAUGUAAUUCCACGUGUAGCAGUGAAAUGCAUAUAGAUAUGGAGGACAUCACUGACGAAGGCCACUCUAUGGUCAGUAACUGACACUUAGGAGCGCAUGCGUGGGGAGCGGAACUGGAUAACAUACCCUGGUCAUCCACGACAUAAACUAUGAGUGCUAGUGUUACGUGGUUUCCUGCCUUUCGGGCUGCACCUGAUGCAUUACCACCUCCGCCAGGGGAGUACCGUCGCUAGACUGAACUCAAAUGACUGGACGCGGGGCCCGCCCAUGCAGUAGAUCAUGUAGUUCAAUGCAAGCAACGCGCAUACCUGACCAUGUCUGACAUCAUCCGACUACCUA